AGUGAACGCUGGCGGCAGGCCUAACACAUGCAAGUCGAACGGCAGCACAGUGGAGCUUGCUCCAUGGGUGGCGAGUGGCGGACGGGUGAGGAAUACAUCGGAAUCUGCCCAGUCGUGGGGGAUAACAUAGGGAAACUUAUGCUAAUACCGCAUACGACCUACGGGGGAAAGCGGGGGAUCGCAAGACCUCGCGCGAUUGAAUGAGCCGAUGUCGGCUUAGCUAGUUGGCGGGGUAAAGGCCCACCAAGGCGACGAUCCGUAGCUGGUCUGAGAGGAUGAUCAGCCACACUGGAACUGAGACACGGUCCAGACUCCUACGGGAGGCAGCAGUGGGGAAUAUUGGACAAUGGGCGCAAGCCUGAUCCAGCCAUACCGCGUGGGUGAAGAAGGCCUUCGGGUUGUAAAGCCCUUUUGUUGGGAAAGAAAUCCAUCUGGUUAAUACCCGGGUGGGAUGACGGUACCCAAAGAAUAAGCACCGGCUAACUUCGUGCCAGCCGCCGCUGUAA
RNAcentral lists this ribosomal RNA (506 nucleotides) under uncultured bacterium. RNAcentral describes it as "partial 16S ribosomal RNA". It matches the Rfam family "Bacterial small subunit ribosomal RNA", at positions 29 to 523 of the family's 1533-position model. The record is from RNAcentral.